AACGAAGGACCAAAGGAGACAAUCAUUAACUCCACCAAUCUCCUGACCAACCUCAGCCUCAGUGGAUAUCCUCACUUCCUCUGCACAAGACGGAGUUUCCUGAGGGACACUUCAGAUGUUCUGCUCAGACAAUCCACCCUCCAACAUUUUGCCAAUCCACAACGUCCACAAGGAAAAGAAGGACCGAAGGAGACAAUUAUUAACUCCACCAAUCUCCUGACCAACCUCAGCCUCAGUGUAUAUCUUCACUUCCUCUGCACAAGACCGAGUUUCCUGAGGGAGACUUCAGAUGUUCUGCUCACACA
Long non-coding RNA from Fundulus heteroclitus (mummichog), 305 nucleotides. RefSeq lists it as uncharacterized. The transcript has 4 exons. Lineage: Eukaryota; Metazoa; Chordata; Actinopteri; Cyprinodontiformes; Fundulidae. The record is from RefSeq and is a predicted model, not a curated record.